Non-coding RNA from Trichobilharzia regenti, 45 nucleotides. Lineage: Eukaryota; Metazoa; Platyhelminthes; Trematoda; Strigeidida; Schistosomatidae. The record is from Rfam.
AUCCAUGUGACAAGUCCCAAAUAGGACGAAAUGAGCAUCCUGGAU